Molecule: ribosomal RNA, 1233 nt
Filed under: metagenome
Description: bacterial LSU rRNA
Rfam family: Bacterial large subunit ribosomal RNA
Source: RNAcentral
UGAGUACGAGAUGCUACGGCAUCGAAGCAGUCUAUGUCAUACUUCCAAGAAAAGCUUGCACUGUCAUAAACAAAGAAUGCCUGUACCAUAACCGACACAGGUGGGUAGGUAGAGUAUACUAAGGGGCGCGAGAUAACUCUCUCUAAGGAACUCGGCAAAAUGACUCCGUAACUUCGGGAGAAGGAGUGCCUUAUUUCUAAGGUUGCAAUAACAAGAUCCAAGCAACUGUUUACCAAAAACACAGGUCUCCGCUAAGUCGUAAGACGAUGUAUGGGGGCUGACGCCUGCCCAGUGCCAGAAGGUUAAAGAAGUUGGUUAGCAUUCGCGAAGCUGAUAACUGAAGCCCUGGUGAACGGCGGCCGUAACAAUAACGGUCCUAAGGUAGCGAAAUUCCUUGUCGGGUAAGUUCCGACCCGCACGAAAGGCGUAAUGAUUUGGAUACUGUCUCGGAGAGGGGCUCGGUGAAAUAGACUUGUCUGUGGAGAUGCGGACUACCUGCACCUGGACAGAAAGACCCUAUGAAGCUUUACUGUAACUUGAGAUUGAAAUUGGACUUUAUUUGCGCAGUAUAGGUGGGAGGCGUUGAGAGCAAUCCUGCGGGAUUGUUGGAGCCAUCAGUGAGAUACCACUCUUGUAAUGUUAGAUUUCUAACUUUGUAUCAUGAUCUGGUCAAGAACAGUUUCAGGCGGGCAGUUUGACUGGGGCGGUCGCCUCCCAAACGGUAACGGAGGCGCACAAAGGUUUCCUCUGAACGGGUAGAAAUCGUAUCUAGAGUGUAAAGGCAUAAGGAAGCUUGACUGUGAGACCUACAAGUCGAGCAGGGACGAAAGUCGGUCUUAGUGAUCUGACGGUGCUGAGUGGAAAGGCCGUCACUCAACGGAUAAAAGUUACUCUAGGAUAACAGGCUGAUCUCCCCCAAGAGUUCACAUCGACGGGGAGGUUUGGCACCUCGAUGUCGGCUCAUCGCAUCCUGGGGCGGUAGUACGUCCCAAGGGUUGGGCUGUUCGCCCAUGAAAGCGGUAUGCGAGCUGGGUUCAGAACGUCGUGAGACAGUUCGGUCCAUAUCCGGUGUAGGCGUUAGAAUAUUGAGAGGAGCCUUCUCUAGUACGAGAGGACCGAGAAGGACAUACCUCUGGUGUACCAGUUAUCGUGCCAACGGUAAACGCUGGGUAGCUAUGUAUGGAGUGGAUAACCGCUGAAAGCAUCUAAGUGGGAAGCCCACCUCAAGAUAAG